CCUACGGGGGGCAGCAGUGGGGAAUAUUGCACAAUGGGGGAAACCCUGAUGCAGCGACGCCGCGUGAGUGAAGAAGUAAUUCGUUAUGUAAAGCUCUAUCAGCAGGGAAGAAAAUGACGGUACCUGAGUAAGAAGCCCCGGCUAACUACGUGCCAGCAGCCGCGGUAAUACGUAGGGGGCAAGCGUUAUCCGGAUUUACUGGGUGUAAAGGGAGCGUAGCCGGCAGUGCAAGUCAGAUGUGAAAGGCGGGGGCUCAACCCCCGGACUGCAUUUGAAACUGUACGGCUGGAGUGCAGGAGAGGUAAGUGGAAUUCCUAGUGUAGCGGUGAAAUGCGUAGAUAUUAGGAGGAACACCAGUGGCGAAGGCGGCCUGCUGGACGGUAACUGACGGUGAGGCUCGAAAGCGUGGGGAGCAAACAGGAUUAGAUACCCGGGUAGUC
Molecule: ribosomal RNA, 440 nt
Filed under: uncultured bacterium
Lineage: Bacteria
Description: partial 16S ribosomal RNA
Rfam family: Bacterial small subunit ribosomal RNA
Source: RNAcentral